GAGUGAAAUGAUGGUCAACCAUCUUUCGGGACUUACCCAAGACAUGGGGAUAACUUUGUUUUGUGCUGAUCACUC
Molecule: small nucleolar RNA, 75 nt
Organism: Amphilophus citrinellus (Midas cichlid)
Lineage: Eukaryota; Metazoa; Chordata; Actinopteri; Cichliformes; Cichlidae
Source: Ensembl